CCUACGGGAGGCAGCAGUGGGGAAUAUUGCACAAUGGGGGAAACCCUGAUGCAGCGACGCCGCGUGAGUGAAGAAGUAAUUCGUUAUGUAAAGCUCUAUCAGCUGGGAAGAAAAUGACGGUACCUGAGUAAGAAGCCCCGGCUAACUACGUGCCAGCAGCCGCGGUACUACGUAGGGGGCAAGCGUUAUCCGGAUUUACUGGGUGUAAAGGGAGCGUAGACGGCAGUGCAAGUCUGGAGUGAAAGGCGGGGGCUCAACCCCCGGACUGCUCUGGAAACUGUACGGCUGGAGUGCAGGAGAGGUAAGUGGAAUUCGUAGUGUAGCGGUGAAAUGCGUAGAUAUUAGGAGGAACACCAGUGGCGAAGGCGGCUUACUGGACUGUAACUGACGUUGAGGCUCGAAAGCGUGGGGAGCAAACAGGAUUAGAUACCCCAGUAGUC
This 440-nucleotide ribosomal RNA is filed under the name uncultured bacterium. Its description in RNAcentral is "partial 16S ribosomal RNA". It matches the Rfam family "Bacterial small subunit ribosomal RNA", at positions 338 to 795 of the family's 1533-position model. The record is from RNAcentral.